Molecule: ribosomal RNA, 1343 nt
Filed under: uncultured bacterium
Lineage: Bacteria
Description: 16S ribosomal RNA
Rfam family: Bacterial small subunit ribosomal RNA
Source: RNAcentral
GACGAACGCUGGCGGCGUGCUUAACACAUGCAAGUCGAACGGAAAGGCCCUGCUUUUGUGGGGUGCUCGAGUGGCGAACGGGUGAGUAACACGUGAGUAACCUGCCCUUGACUUUGGGAUAACUUCAGGAAACUGGGGCUAAUACCGGAUAGGAGCUCCUGCUGCAUGGUGGGGGUUGGAAAGUUUCGGCGGUUGGGGAUGGACUCGCGGCUUAUCAGCUUGUUGGUGGGGUAGUGGCUUACCAAGGCUUUGACGGGUAGCCGGCCUGAGAGGGUGACCGGCCACAUUGGGACUGAGAUACGGCCCAGACUCCUACGGGAGGCAGCAGUGGGGAAUAUUGCACAAUGGGCGGAAGCCUGAUGCAGCAACGCCGCGUGCGGGAUGGCGGCCUUCGGGUUGUAAACCGCUUUCGCCUGUGACGAAGCGUGAGUGACGGUAAUGGGUAAAGAAGCACCGGCUAACUACGUGCCAGCAGCCGCGGUGAUACGUAGGGUGCGAGCGUUGUCCGGAUUUAUUGGGCGUAAAGGGCUCGUAGGUGGUUGAUCGCGUCGGAAGUGUAAUCUUGGGGCUUAACCCUGAGCGUGCUUUCGAUACGGGUUGACUUGAGGAAGGUAGGGGAGAAUGGAAUUCCUGGUGGAGCGGUGGAAUGCGCAGAUAUCAGGAGGAACACCAGUGGCGAAGGCGGUUCACUGGGCCUUUCCUGACGCUGAGGAGCGAAAGCGUGGGGAGCGAACAGGCUUAGAUACCCUGGUAGUCCACGCUGUAAACGGUGGGUACUAGGUGUGGGGUCCAUUCCACGGGUUCCGUGCCGUAGCUAACGCUUUAAGUACCCCGCCUGGGGAGUACGGCCGCAAGGCUAAAACUCAAAGGAAUUGACGGGGCCCCGCACAAGCGGCGGAGCAUGCGGAUUAAUUCGAUGCAACGCGUAGAACCUUACCUGGGUUUGACAUGGAUCGGGAGUGCUCAGAGAUGGGUGUGCCUCUUUUGGGGUCGGUUCACAGGUGGUGCAUGGCUGUCGUCAGCUCGUGUCGUGAGAUGUUGGGUUAAGUCCCGCAACGAGCGCAACCCUUGUUCACUGUUGCCAGCACGUUAUGGUGGGGACUCAGUGGAGACCGCCGGGGUCAACUCGGAGGAAGGUGGGGAUGACGUCAAGUCAUCAUGCCCCUUAUGUCCAGGGCUUCACGCAUGCUACAAUGGCUGGUACAGAGAGUGGCGAGCCUGUGAGGGUGAGCGAAUCUCGGAAAGCCGGUCUCAGUUCGGAUUGGGGUCUGCAACUCGACCUCAUGAAGUCGGAGUCGCUAGUAAUCGCAGAUCAGCAACGCUGCCGUGAAUACCUUCCCGGG